GGUAAUGGCUCACCAAGGCAACGAUGCGUAGCCGACCUGAGAGGGUGAUCGGCCACAUUGGGACUGAGACACGGCCCAAACUCCUACGGGAGGCAGCAGUAGGGAAUCUUCCGCAAUGGACGAAAGUCUGACGGAGCAACGCCGCGUGAGUGAAGAAGGCCUUCGGGUCGUAAAACUCUGUUGCCGGGGAAGAACAAGUGCCGUUCGAACAGGGCGGCGCCUUGACGGUACCCGGCCAGAAAGCCACGGCUAACUACGUGCCAGCAGCCGCGGUAAUACGUAGGUGGCAAGCGUUGUCCGGAAUUAUUGGGCGUAAAGCGCGCGCAGGCGGCUUCUUAAGUCUGAUGUGAAAUCUUGCGGCUCAACCGCAAGCGGUCAUUGGAAACUGGGAGGCUUGAGUGCAGAAGAGGAGAGUGGAAUUCCACGUGUAGCGGUGAAAUGCGUAGAGAUGUGGAGGAACACCAGUGGCGAAGGCGGCUCUCUGGUCUGUAACUGACGCUGAGGCGCGAAAGCGUGGGGAGCAAACAGGAUUAGAUACCCUGGUAGUCCACGCCGUAAACGAUGAGUGCUAAGUGUUAGAGGGUUUCCGCCCUUUAGUGCUGCAGCUAACGCAUUAAGCACU
Molecule: ribosomal RNA, 622 nt
Filed under: uncultured Bacillota bacterium
Lineage: Bacteria; Bacillati; Bacillota
Description: bacterial SSU rRNA
Rfam family: Bacterial small subunit ribosomal RNA
Source: RNAcentral